ACAUCCUCGAGUUCCAACUCUUCUGGCAAAACCCAAGAUGCAACCAAUUAUAGAAAAAUCAUAUUCGAAAACAAAAAAAAAAAAAUGGAAUUUGUGAGCAAGAGACAGUACUUCAACAAGAGGAAUGGGAAUAUCGUUCGGAAGAUAUUUCAAAUACUAUUUUCUGGACAAAGGGAUUUCCGACAGUGCUUAAGAAGAAGAAGAAAUGUAGGUUUGCUCACCAUCUUUGGCUUUGGAGGAAGAAGAAACUUCCAUUUCACUUAGGCUUGUGGUUAUGCGAAUCCAAUCUCUGAAAAAGGAAUGACUUGAUGAG
This 313-nucleotide long non-coding RNA is filed under the name Elaeis guineensis (African oil palm). Its description in RNAcentral is "long non-coding RNA (EGUI_LNC009173)". Lineage: Eukaryota; Viridiplantae; Streptophyta; Magnoliopsida; Arecales; Arecaceae. The record is from RNAcentral.